Molecule: ribosomal RNA, 301 nt
Filed under: uncultured bacterium
Lineage: Bacteria
Description: partial 16S ribosomal RNA
Rfam family: Bacterial small subunit ribosomal RNA
Source: RNAcentral
CAGCAGCCGCGGUAAUACGGAGGGUGCAAGCGUUAAUCGGAAUUACUGGGCGUAAAGCGUGCGUAGGUGGUGGUUUAAGUCCGUUGUGAAAGCCCUGGGCUCAACCUGGGAAUUGCAGUGGAUACUGGGUCACUAGAGUGUGGUAGAGGAUAGUGGAAUUUCCGGUGUAGCAGUGAAAUGCGUAGAGAUCGGAAGGAACAUCUGUGGCGAAGGCGACUAUCUGGGCCAACACUGACACUGAGGCACGAAAGCGUGGGGAGCAAACAGGAUUAGAUACCCCGGUAGUCCCUGUCUCUUAUAC